GACGAACGCUGGCGGCGUGCCUAAUACAUGCAAGUAGAACGCACAGUUUAUACCGUAGCUUGCUACACCAUACACUGUGAGUUGCGAACGGGUGAGUAACGCGUAGGUAACCUGCCUGGUAGCGGGGGAUAACUAUUGGAAACGAUAGCUAAUACCGCAUAAUAUUAAUUAUUGCAUGAUAAUUGAUUGAAAGAUGCAAUUGCAUCACUACCAGAUGGACCUGCGUUGUAUUAGCUAGUAGGUGAGGUAACGGCUCACCUAUGCGACGAUACAUAGCCGACCUGAGAGGGUGAUCGGCCACACUGGGACUGAGACACGGCCCAGACUCCUACGGGAGGCAGCAGUAGGGAAUAUUAGGCAAUAGACGAAAGUCUGACCGAGCAACGCCGCGUGAGUGAAGAAGGUUUUCGGAUCGUAAAGCUCUGUUGUAAGAGAAGAACGGGUGUGAGAGUGGAAAGUUCACACUGUGACGGUAUCUUACCAGAAAGGGACGGCUAACUACGUG
This 505-nucleotide ribosomal RNA is filed under the name uncultured bacterium. RNAcentral describes it as "partial 16S ribosomal RNA". It matches the Rfam family "Bacterial small subunit ribosomal RNA", at positions 28 to 507 of the family's 1533-position model. The record is from RNAcentral.